UGCAAGUCGAACGGUGAAGCAGAGCUUGCUCUGUGGAUCAGUGGCGAACGGGUGAGUAACACGUGAGCAAUCUGCCCCUGACUCUGGGAUAAGCGCUGGAAACGGCGUCUAAUACCGGAUACGAGCUGCGAAGGCAUCUUCAGCAGUUGGAAAGAAUUUCGGUCAGGGAUGAGCUCGCGGCCUAUCAGCUUGUUGGUGAGGUAAUGGCUCACCAAGGCGUCGACGGGUAGCCGGCCUGAGAGGGUGACCGGCCACACUGGGACUGAGACACGGCCCAGACUCCUACGGGAGGCAGCAGUGGGGAAUAUUGCACAAUGGGCGCAAGCCUGAUGCAGCAACGCCGCGUGAGGGAUGACGGCCUUCGGGUUGUAAACCUCUUUUAGCAAGGAAGAAGCGAAAGUGACGGUACUUGCAGAAAAAGCGCCGGCUAACUACGUGCCAGCAGCCGCGGUAAUACGUAGGGCGCAAGCGUUAUCCGGAAUUAUUGGGCGUAAAGAGCUCGUAGGCGGUUUGUCGCGUCUGCUGUGAAAACUGGAGGCUCAACCUCCAGCCUGCAGUGGGUACGGGCAGACUAGAGUGCGGUAGGGGAGAUUGGAAUUCCUGGUGUAGCGGUGGAAUGCGCAGAUAUCAGGAGGAACACCGAUGGCGAAGGCAGAUCUCUGGGCCGUAACUGACGCUGAGGAGCGAAAGGGUGGGGAGCAAACAGGCUUAGAUACCCUGGUAGUCCACCCCGUAAACGUUGGGAACUAGUUGUGGGGUCCAUUCCACGGAUUCCGUGACGCAGCUAACGCAUUAAGUUCCCCGCCUGGGGAGUACGGCCGCAAGGCUAAAACUCAAAGGAAUUGACGGGGA
RNAcentral lists this ribosomal RNA (852 nucleotides) under Microbacterium sp. ER-90. RNAcentral's name for it is "bacterial SSU rRNA". It matches the Rfam family "Bacterial small subunit ribosomal RNA", at positions 56 to 919 of the family's 1533-position model. Lineage: Bacteria; Bacillati; Actinomycetota; Actinomycetes; Micrococcales; Microbacteriaceae. The record is from RNAcentral.